GAUGAACGCUGGCGGCGUGCCUAAUACAUGCAAGUCGAGCGAACGGACGAGAAGCUUGCUUCUCUGAUGUUAGCGGCGGACAGGUGGGUAACACGUGGAUAACCUACCUAUAAGACUGGGAUAACUUCGGGAAACCGGAGCUAAUACCGGAUAAUAUUUUGAACCGCAUGGUUCAAAAGUGAAAGACGGUCUUGCUGUCACUUAUAGAUGGAUCCGCGCUGCAUUAGCUAGUUGGUAAGGUAACGGCUUACCAAGGCAACGAUGCAUAGCCGACCUGAGAGGGUGAUCGGCCACACUGGAACUGAGACACGGUCCAGACUCCUACGGGAGGCAGCAGUAGGGAAUCUUCCGCAAUGGGCGAAAGCCUGACGGAGCAACGCCGCGUGAGUGAUGAAGGUCUUCGGAUCGUAAAGCUCUGUUAUUAGGGAAGAACAUAUGUGUAAGUAACUGUGCACAUCUUGACGGUACCUAAUCAGAAAGCCACGGCUAACUACGUGCCAGCAGCCGCGGUAAUACGUAGGUGGCAAGCGUUAUCCGGAAUUAUUGGGCGUAAAGCGCGCGUAGGCGGUUUUUUAAGUCUGAUGUGAAAGCCCACGGCUCAACCGUGGAGGGUCAUUGGAAACUGGAAAACUUGAGUGCAGAAGAGGAAAGUGGAAUUCCAUGUGUAGCGGUGAAAUGCGCAGAGAUAUGGAGGAACACCAGUGGCGAAGGCGACUUUCUGGUCUGUAACUGACGCUGAUGUGCGAAAGCGUGGGGAUCAAACAGGAUUAGAUACCCUGGUAGUCCACGCCGUAAACGAUGAGUGCUAAGUGUUAGGGGGUUUCCGCCCCUUAGUGCUGCAGCUAACGCAUUAAGCACUCCGCCUGGGGAGUACGACCGCAAGGUUGAAACUCAAAGGAAUUGACGGGGACCCGCACAAGCGGUGGAGCAUGUGGUUUAAUUCGAAGCAACGCGAAGAACCUUACCAAAUCUUGACAUCCUUUGACAACUCUAGAGAUAGAGCCUUCCCCUUCGGGGGACAAAGUGACAGGUGGUGCAUGGUUGUCGUCAGCUCGUGUCGUGAGAUGUUGGGUUAAGUCCCGCAACGAGCGCAACCCUUAAGCUUAGUUGCCAUCAUUAAGUUGGGCACUCUAAGUUGACUGCCGGUGACAAACCGGAGGAAGGUGGGGAUGACGCCAAAUCAUCAUGCCCCUUAUGAUUUGGGCUACACACGUGCUACAAUGGACAAUACAAAGGGCAGCGAAACCGCGAGGUCAAGCAAAUCCCAUAAAGUUGUUCUCAGUUCGGAUUGUAGUCUGCAACUCGACUACAUGAAGCUGGAAUCGCUAGUAAUCGUAGAUCAGCAUGCUACGGUGAAUACGUUCCCGGGUCU
This 1372-nucleotide ribosomal RNA is filed under the name uncultured bacterium. Its description in RNAcentral is "bacterial SSU rRNA". It matches the Rfam family "Bacterial small subunit ribosomal RNA", at positions 28 to 1381 of the family's 1533-position model. The record is from RNAcentral.